GUGCCCCCUUUGGCAGCACAUAUAUUAAACUCGGAAUGAUACAGAGGAGAUUAGCAUGGGCCCUGUGCAAGGAUGACAUGCAAGUUGAGGGGGAGGAUUAAAUAAAAUU
Molecule: small nuclear RNA, 109 nt
Organism: Ailuropoda melanoleuca (giant panda)
Lineage: Eukaryota; Metazoa; Chordata; Mammalia; Carnivora; Ursidae
Source: Ensembl